Hippocampus comes (tiger tail seahorse) is the source of this 605-nucleotide long non-coding RNA. RefSeq lists it as uncharacterized. The record is from RefSeq and is a predicted model, not a curated record. The transcript has 2 exons. NCBI's taxonomy places the organism in Eukaryota, Metazoa, Chordata, Actinopteri, Syngnathiformes, Syngnathidae.
AGUCUCACUUAGCAGUGUGACAACAACUUUUUCAUGUUGCGGUGAGUACAAUUGUGAGGUUGAAAAGUAAAUUUAUUCAUUUUUAAGCAGGUCUACCAUGAGUAGACCCACAAAAAAGGCUUAAAAAGCCAUGCUCGAAAAGACACAGUCUGCCAUUUUGGUUUGCACCACUUGGCCAUUUUGAGGUAGAUUUUUAGUCAUUUGUAAGGGUCGUUCAAAAACAAACAAGCCACCAUUGCUUUGGUCGGGCACCCGAAAAGAAUCUGAUUCAGCCCCGAAAGUCACGAUCACUCAGCAACGUGACAUUUUGGUGGGCAUGUCUGUCAUGAAUAGACCCACAAAAAUGUCUCGUAGCCAUGCCUCAAAAGACACAGAAAGUCAUCCAUUUUUGUUUUUAAGUUGCCAUUUUAGGGUAAUUUCCAGGGGUCCGAGACAUUUUGUCUCAUACGACAUGUGAAUACGUAAACUCGUGACAUGGGCAACACUAAAUUGCAAUUGAGUUUUUGUCAUUGUGUGUCAGCGAAAUUUUAUCACGAUGAAGAGUGCAACCUGGAAUUUUUGUAAGAUUCAGCCCCUUGAGUCAUUUUCAUUUCGCAGCAUGAAUU